UUACGGGGCAGUUAUAUCCAUGU
This 23-nucleotide microRNA is filed under the name Branchiostoma lanceolatum (amphioxus). RNAcentral describes it as "Bla-Mir-4872-P14b_5p (mature (co-guide))". The record is from RNAcentral. Lineage: Eukaryota; Metazoa; Chordata; Leptocardii; Amphioxiformes; Branchiostomatidae.